GUCUACGGCCAUGCCACCCUGAACACGCCCGAUCCCAUCUGAUCUCGGAAGCUAAGCAGGUUCGGGCCUGGUUAGUACUUGGAUGGGAGACCACCUAGGAAGACCAGGUGCUUUAGGAG
Molecule: ribosomal RNA, 119 nt
Filed under: Pteropus alecto (black flying fox)
Lineage: Eukaryota; Metazoa; Chordata; Mammalia; Chiroptera; Pteropodidae
Source: RNAcentral